Molecule: ribosomal RNA, 322 nt
Filed under: uncultured bacterium
Lineage: Bacteria
Description: bacterial SSU rRNA
Rfam family: Bacterial small subunit ribosomal RNA
Source: RNAcentral
UCCACGCCCUAAACGAUGCGUGCUCGGUGUGGAGGGACGUUCAAUCGACCUUCCGUGCCUUAGCUAACGCGGUAAGCACGCCGCCUGGGGAGUACGGCCGCAAGGUUAAAACUCAAAGGAAUAGACGGGGACCCACACAAGCGGUGGAGCAUGGGGUUUAAUUCGAUACUAAGCGGGGCACCUCACCCAGGCUUGACAUCUCGGGAAUCGACUGGAAACAGUUGAGUGCCGCAAGGAACCCGAAGACAGGCGCUGCACGGUCGUCGUCAGCUCGUGCCUUGAGGUGUGUUGUUAAGUCAAUGAACGAGCGCAACCCUCAUCC